This is a long non-coding RNA of Scatophagus argus, 1058 nucleotides long. RefSeq lists it as uncharacterized. The record is from RefSeq and is a predicted model, not a curated record. NCBI's taxonomy places the organism in Eukaryota, Metazoa, Chordata, Actinopteri, Scatophagidae. The transcript has 5 exons.
AGAGCCGUGUGCGCGAGGACUCGUCUCGCGCUCUGCUCGUCGUGGCCCCUGACUGUGCGCGUGUGAUGCCCUCAAUUUGGCAUCCGAUUCAUUCCAGCAGCGCCUCUCUCUGCGCCAUAUCAGCACUAUCGACCAAAGACGAGAUGGAGAGAACUAAUAAGGAGUGGAGGGGAACAGAGAAACGCAGCCUCAGCGAGCCCAGCUCCCUGUUUUAUGACCCGCCGGCAAGAGAAGCCGGCGCACGGCAUCAUAGGCAUCCGGUGACGACGUCCGCGAGAAGAUGAAGAUGAACCGGCCUUUCUGAUCAAAGCACCCGUCUAUAAAGCUCAAGGCUGGCCUUCCCAGAGCGAAUCACAGCCGCUGGACGUCUGGCCACGCCCACCCACAGCAGGUGUUUCCCAUCAGCUGUGAAAGCGUGUUUGUGAAGUCAAAUGCUGCAAAAAAGAAAACAACAAAGAAAAAAACAGAAACAAACUCCUCUACUGGCAAUGGGAAAACCUGCAGGUGUGAGCACUGCAGUCGCUGGCAGACUGUUGAUUAUUGAUCCUCUGAGAGCAGGUGACGCAGACAGACUGUUUGUAAGGGUUUACAUGUGGACGCCGUGCAGCCACAGACCUACAGACGGUCGGUUUCCGGCGGCUCCUCUGGAAGCUGGUGUGGUUCUGUAGCUUGGCUGGGCUGCAGAGCAUCUGUCUUUGUGUCUUUGUGUCUGGGGUAAACCCCUGCUGCUGCCGAGCUUUUGUCUCCUCCUGAUCGGCUCUAAUGCUGCAGCACUAAUUGUUUAACACAGAAACACGUCUUUUCUCCCUUUAAUGUUUUUGUUUUUAUUGUGGUCGAUGCAUUUAUUACAAAACCUUUGUGGAUUUUGAACACGCGCCUCCCUCGCCCCUUCCUCCUCCUCCUCCUCCUACCCUCUCCUUCACCAUCCUCCCUUCACUCUCUCCCUCUUUCUGUCUAAAAUGCCCGCCCUGAGAAAGGAGGGGGGGAGAAAAUGUGAACAUCAGCAGAAAAACGGAUGUCUGGCAAGUUGCAUCAUUUUCAGAAACAAACAGUGUGAA